This 135-nucleotide non-coding RNA is filed under the name Caballeronia glathei. Its description in RNAcentral is "Burkholderia glathei SAH sequence". It matches the Rfam family "SAH (S-adenosyl-L-homocysteine) riboswitch aptamer". Lineage: Bacteria; Pseudomonadati; Pseudomonadota; Betaproteobacteria; Burkholderiales; Burkholderiaceae. The record is from RNAcentral.
CGCUUCGAGGAGCGUUGCGACGGCUUUCAUCGACGAAGGCCGCCAGGCUCGAAGCAUUCAAUCGGACGGAGCGACAGCGCGGGUUAGAUCACCACGCGCUCGUUGAACCACCGCAUCGAACGGCGCUCACGUCAA